AGACAAAGCUAAUCUACUAACAGUGUCAUCAUGUGGGGGAGGGUGUGAUACCUAAAUCACUCUCUCCUUUUAGCUCCCCCAUUCUAUACCAAAAUAUUUGCCAUUUGGUUACAAAUGGGAGGACAAACUGCCUGGGCAGAGUUCCCCACCUAGGCUGAUAAAAUGGCUUUGAAGCGGCAGGCUUUGAGGAGCAGUGGUGGAAAAUGUGAAAAAUCAGCACAAAGUCUUCUGACUGUGGGAGAGAGUGUAAAGGAUUCCUCAUAGUAAGAAAGAGAACACUGUGAGAGCUGAGCAGAGAACAACUCUGCAGGGAGACCAUGGGCAGGAAGAGAACUGUACAUGCUGCCCCUGAGCCUCUUCUUUGAGGCCCGACCUCAUCCUUGGGAGCCCCUCUACUGGUGUAUCAGAUAAUGCAGGAGUGCCUGGGAACAUAGUAUCUCCUUCCUCUCCUGGAUCUAGAGACCCAAGAUAAGGAGUCAGGUUGGAAGAACGGCAGCUACAGAACCCACCCUAAAUGAUGUAAGUAUUCACCUAAUACCUGCCUCUCAGUGCCAUCCAUAAUCUUAUCCUGGAGUGGGAGUUAGAUGUAAGGAAAGAGGGACCAAGGAUC
RNAcentral lists this long non-coding RNA (610 nucleotides) under Pan troglodytes (chimpanzee). Its description in RNAcentral is "long non-coding RNA NONPTRT000463". The record is from RNAcentral. Lineage: Eukaryota; Metazoa; Chordata; Mammalia; Primates; Hominidae.